The sequence is a ribosomal RNA, 394 nucleotides long. It matches the Rfam family "Bacterial large subunit ribosomal RNA", at positions 1936 to 2543 of the family's 2925-position model.
GUAUCCUGACCGUGCUAAGGUAGCGUAAUCACUUGCCUCUUAAUUGGUGGCCUGUAUGAAUGGACAAACGAGAGCUAAACUGUCUCUUACUUACUACCAUAAACUAACCUCCAGGCGAAAAGGCCUGAAUAACCUUAUAGGACAAGAAGACCCUGUCAAGCUUUACUAAAAUAAUAUAUCUAUAAAUAUUUAUAUAACUAAAAUACAUUAAAAUUAGUUUAGUUGGGGCGACUGGGGACCAAAACUAACGUCCCCCCAUAACCAAGGAAUAUAACCCAAUCAAACUGACCCGUUAAAACGAUCAAGAGAAAAGCUACUGCAGGGAUAACAGGCUAAUCUUCCUCAAGAGCCCUAAUCGAAAGGAAGGCUUGGCACCUCGAUGUUGGCUUAGGAA